This 511-nucleotide ribosomal RNA is filed under the name uncultured Desulfobacteraceae bacterium. RNAcentral describes it as "bacterial SSU rRNA". It matches the Rfam family "Bacterial small subunit ribosomal RNA", at positions 903 to 1382 of the family's 1533-position model. Lineage: Bacteria; Pseudomonadati; Thermodesulfobacteriota; Desulfobacteria; Desulfobacterales; Desulfobacteraceae. The record is from RNAcentral.
CUAUGCGCCUUGCCAGCCCGCUCAGAAACUUAAAUGAAUUGACGGGGGCCCGGCACAAGCGGUGGAGCAUGUGGUUAAUUCGACGCAACGCGAAGAACCUUACCUGGAUUUGACAUCCCGGGGAUCUUUCUGAAAGGAUUGAGUGCCCUUCGGGGAGCCCGGUGACAGGUGCUGCAUGGCUGUCGUCAGCUCGUGUCGUGAGAUGUUGGGUUAAGUCCCGCAACGAGCGCAACCCUUAUCUUUAGUUACCAUCAUUAAGUUGGGGACUCUAAAGAUACUGCCCCGGUUAACGGGGAGGAAGGUGGGGAUGACGUCAAGUCCUCAUGGCCUUUAUGUCCAGGGCUACACACGUGCUACAAUGGGUUGUACAAAGGGUUGCGAACUCGCGAGAGUAAGCCAAUCCCAAAAAGCAACUCUUAGUUCGGAUUGGAGUCUGCAACUCGACUCCAUGAAGCUGGAAUCGCUAGUAAUCGUGGAUCAGCAUGCCACGGUGAAUACGUUCCCGGGCCUU